RNAcentral lists this ribosomal RNA (497 nucleotides) under uncultured bacterium. Its description in RNAcentral is "partial 16S ribosomal RNA". It matches the Rfam family "Bacterial small subunit ribosomal RNA", at positions 28 to 507 of the family's 1533-position model. The record is from RNAcentral.
GAUGAACGCUGGCGGCGUGCCUAAUACAUGCAAGUCGAGCGAACAGACGAGGAGCUUGCUCCUCUGACGUUAGCGGCGGGCGGGUGAGUAACACGUGGAUAACCUACCUAUAAGACUGGGAUAACUUCGGGAAACCGGAGCUAAUACCGGAUAAUAUAUUGAACCGCAUGGUUCAAUAGUGAAAGACGGUUUUGCUGUCACUUAUAGAUGGAUCCGCGCCGCAUUAGCUAGUUGGUAAGGUAACGGCUUACCAAGGCAACGAUGCGUAGCCGACCUGAGAGGGUGAUCGGCCACACUGGAACUGAGACACGGUCCAGACGCCUACGGGAGGCAGCAGUAGGGAAUCUUCCGCAAUGGGCGAAAGCCUGACGGAGCAACGCCGCGUGAGUGAUGAAGGUCUUCGGAUCGUAAAACUCUGUUAUUAGGGAAGAACAAAUGUGUAAGUAACUAUGCACGUCUUGACGGUACCUAAUCAGAAAGCCACGGCUAACUACGUG